Molecule: long non-coding RNA, 703 nt
Organism: Daphnia pulicaria
Lineage: Eukaryota; Metazoa; Arthropoda; Branchiopoda; Diplostraca; Daphniidae
Exons: 3
Source: RefSeq, a predicted model, not a curated record
ACAGGGUUCAUAACUUCGCUUAAUAGUUAGUACACACUCAAUGCUGUCUGGCAGAAUUCAGGCCUGAGCCAGCCAUCAUAACAACACAAUAUACAAGUUUUCAUUGUGUUGGUUUUGACCAGCAACAAUCUCAGCAUCAUCACUCGGAUAAACGGCAUCCCGUUUGAUGGGAGAAAGAUGUCGAGCGACUCAAAUCUUUUCCCCUUUGUCUAAAUGUCCUAGUGUACACCCAUGUGAGUGUGGGUGUAUUCACGAGUACACCCUCUUUUCCUAUUCAGUCUGGUGGAUUCAACUCUUCAGAGGCAGGAGCAACUGUGGAUGCCUGGCCGUAUUUACCAGGCUUUAAGGUGGGACAAAUUUAAUCUCUAUUCUUUCUUUUUGACUAUUUGGUGGCGUUAAUUAUCAAUCAUGGUAUACGCUAUCGUGGUGCGGAGUACGAUUAUUCCUGUGGCUACGCCGUUGACUGGAACUCUUUUCUCUCUCCUUUUUUGUUGACUCAUCAGUCAGGGCUCAUUAAAUAAUCAUUUGUAGAACGAGAUCAGGCUUGUUUCGCGUACCUCACAACUUUGUGGUAAACUUUGAACUUGAAUCACUUAAAGCAAAGUGCAGCUAGAAAAUUUUUUACCAAGAGGAAUCUGUCGUCACACCGUUAUUCCUCGUUAUAUUCUUUAUUAUUUUUUUCACCUCUUGGGUGACAUCUAAG